CUAGUCUAGUUAAUCCAUUGAGUUGCAUUGCACCGAUGUGCCCUGCUUUAUUAUUUUACUCUGUCUACUGCCAGACAAUUUACUUGUCAAGGGGAGAGCUCUGGCAUUUAAUAGGUACAGUAACUUAACUGGCCUAUCUGGCCAUAUGUCUAAUAAUCUAGUUAAUCCAUUCAGUUGCAUUGUGCCAAUGCGCCCUGCUUUAAGUAUUAUUUUACUCUGUCUAACGAUUUAGUCGUAUGACAUGUGGACAGUGACUGACUGAAACAGUACAGGCUUGACUGCAGUCACUGACAAGAAGAAAAUUCAGAUCUCACAAUGUAUAUUAAUUUUACUGUAUUAUAAACCAUAUAAUUUCUUUUAUUAGUCCAUGCUGACAGCAAAUGCCUUAACUGAGGUGGAUAGGCCCAAUAAUUUUUCGAAAUUAACUAAGAAUGCAAGAAAAAGAUUCAAUGUGAACUGGAGAAGCAGGAGAACUGUUAAGAGAACACAAACAUACAGUAUUUGUUUUAAUAUUUUAGUAAUGAUAUUAUAUGCAUUUCUUAAUUUUAAUCUUUGGUCUUGUCCCUGCAUGGUGUUACUGGUAACCCACCCCUGAUUUUUUAUUUCUGCAUGCUUUUAGUUGAGUAAUGCAUAUACAGGGUG
This is a non-coding RNA of Paramuricea clavata, 642 nucleotides long. The record is from the annotation of a GenBank genome assembly. Lineage: Eukaryota; Metazoa; Cnidaria; Anthozoa; Malacalcyonacea; Plexauridae.